UGAGCAACCUACCGAACUGUGGGGGAUAGCCGGCCUAACGGCCGAGUAAUACCGCAUACGCUCUCAGAGAGGCAUUUCUUUGAGAGGAAACCUACGGGACAGAUCGAGGGGCUCGCGGCCUAUCAGCUGGUUGGUGAGGUAACGGCCCACCAAGGCGACGACGGGUAGCCGGCCUGAGAGGGCGAUCGGCCACACUGGGACUGAGAUACGGCCCAGACUCCUACGGGAGGCAG
RNAcentral lists this ribosomal RNA (233 nucleotides) under uncultured bacterium. RNAcentral's name for it is "partial 16S ribosomal RNA". It matches the Rfam family "Bacterial small subunit ribosomal RNA", at positions 118 to 351 of the family's 1533-position model. The record is from RNAcentral.